ACUUUUAGAUUCAAAAACGUUUGAUAGUAAUGUAGGAAGAGAAGAGGAAAUAGAAACCAUGGAAAAUAUAAUUAAAAGAUGCUCAAAAAAUAUGACAGGUGAAGGUAUAUUUUUGACUGGUCCUAGUGGUCAAGGUAAAACAUAUAGCAUCUUUUAUAUUCUUAAAGAAAUAGAAAAGGAGAAAGCCCAAAAAAAAACAGAAUAUUAUAAAAAUAUCGAUCCCUCUUAUUUUUAUGUCUCCUGUUCUAAUAGUCAAAAACCAUACGACAUCUUUGUUGAUAUAUUACAACAAAUAAUAAAUAAAGAUAAAAAAAGUAUUUUAAAUAAUAUAAAACAAAAAUAUAACCUAAACGGUUUAGAGGAAGUAAAAAAAUUGUUUAUUAACUAUACUCAUAAUUUAAAAAACAUAAAAAUUGUUAUUGUUGAUGAAUUAGACUUUAUAGCUAUCAAAAAUGUGAGAGUAGAACUAAAAUCAAAAAGUAAUAUUAAAAAUUAUAAUGAAGAUGUGGUUAAAACAUUGUUCGAAUGUACACAAUAUUCAAAAAAUAAAAUAAUUCUAGUUGGAAUAGCUAAUAGUUUUGAUAUGUUAAAAGAUUAUACUCAUAUCAAAAUUAAUCAAAUCAUUUACAAACCUUAUAACGAAAAACAAUUCAUGAAUAUUAUCAAAAAUAAAUUAAAUUCGUUCGAAGAUGAGUUUGUUAAUAAAUUAUUUAAAGGGGUCGCAUUAAAUAUACAUGUAAGACAAAUUUCAAACCAAAAUGGUGACAUCAGGUCUUGUUUCGAUUCAAUUCUCAGAGUCUUUUCAGAAAAAAAAACAACCCUUGACGAAAGGAUCAAAAAUCUUAUUAAACUAAAGGAAGAAAUAUAUAUGAAUAAAAUUUUUAACAUUUUUGAAAAAAAAAAUUUGCUGCUUUUGUUGAAUGAUGAUGUUGGUACAAGUGCCAGCACUGGUGUAAGUGGUAGCGAAAAAAAUAGUAAUGCUUGUGCACUAAAUAACAAUGAAAAAAACAAAAAAAGAACUAGAACAAAUAAUAAAGACGGUGGUAGUGGCAACCAAACAGAUGAGUCAUGUGUAUCCGUAACACACGAUAAUGUACCAAACAAAAAAAUCAAAACAUAUAAAAAUAAUAAUUCCAAUCGAUCAGUUAGUAAUAACAGUUAUGAACAAUCAACAAAUGACAGUUACUAUGAUAGCGACCUCAACGUGACACCGUCACCUAUUAAUAAAAAUUCAAAUAUAGACAAUAAAUUUUAUGAACAUUUAAAAAAUGUUAAAUUUACUGACAUAAAAAAUGAAUAUUCUAUAGGUUAUGAUACGCUUAAAAAAGAAGCUAUAAAAAUACAAAAUGAUUAUGAAACAUUAAGCGAAAUAAUUAUAAGAAAAAAUUUUAACUCGAAUGAUGGUGAUUCUGAAUAUGAUCUUAUAGCUGAUUAUACUUUUAAUGAAUCCUAUGAAAGUCCUUUCAAAGUACUUUAUGAAAAUUAUAAACAUGAGGACGAAGAACUGAAAGAGAGUACUGGUCAAAGUAACAACUUGAGUAAAACAAAAAAGAAUGACUACUAUCGUGAUCAAAAAAAAAAAAAGCAACAACAACAACAUAAACAUAAACACAAACAGCCAACACAACCCUUUUUUAAAAACAAACAAGAUGUGUUAAAAAAUAUAAACACAGAAAAAUUAUCAUCGGUUGGUACAAUAUUAGAAUGUCAAUUAACAAAUAUACAAAAUAAAUAUCAAGAUAUAUGUUCUAAUAGUACUAAUAAUACAGUUAUGAUUUCAGACUUAAAAAAAAUAACUGAAAAAAUACCACUAGAAGAACAUAAAGAUAUAUUAUUAAAAAUUAAAAGCUUGCCUUUAAUUCAAAAAAUAUGUUUAUAUGCUUCAUGUAAUUUAGUAAAUGACUCACAAUUAAAUCAUGAUGAAAAUGAUAAUGAGGAAAAUGAACAACAUGCAAAGAAACCAAAUCAAAUAAUUGAAAUAUGCUACUCUGAUAUACAAAACGGAUUCAGAAGCUUAUGUAGUUCCUUGUCAGAAACCUGUUACAUAAAAGAUAUGAUAGAGGGAAAUACUAUUGAUCAAGCUAUUGAGCAUUUUGAAGAAUUAGGGAUAUUAACAAAUUGUAAAAAAAAUCAAAAGUAUGGUAAAGAAAGAAAAACUGUUGUAAAAGUACCAAAAGGAUUGACACCUAGAUUUGCUAACAUGAAAACAAAUAAAAAUUUUACUUCUCAAAACAAAUUAAAUUCGAUUUAUUAUUUUAACUUACCAGUAUGUGUUAUUAAACAAACAUUGAAAGAAAUUUCUUCAAUUCUGUCAAGUUUCGACGGCAACACACAAUUCUGAAAUGCCAACGCGUAUACAUACAAAUUUUCGACUAAUAAAACAUGAAGAAAACAAAAAAUAAAAUAAAAU
This is a long non-coding RNA of Piliocolobus tephrosceles (Ugandan red Colobus), 2410 nucleotides long. Lineage: Eukaryota; Metazoa; Chordata; Mammalia; Primates; Cercopithecidae. The record is from Ensembl.